This 30-nucleotide non-coding RNA is filed under the name Mus musculus (house mouse). Lineage: Eukaryota; Metazoa; Chordata; Mammalia; Rodentia; Muridae. The record is from RNAcentral.
UGUGGUAUUGUUCCAUAAUGUGCUUCCAAU